UCGAGGGGUAGAGGAAGCUUGCUUUCUUGAGACCGGCGCACGGGUGCGUAACGCGUAUGCAAUCUACCUUUUACAGGGGAAUAGCCCAGAGAAAUUUGGAUUAAUGCCCCAUAGUGUAAUUGAAUGGCAUCAUUUGAUUACUAAAGUUCCAACGGUAAAAGAUGAGCAUGCGUCCUAUUAGCUAGUUGGUGUGGUAACGGCACACCAAGGCAACGAUAGGUAGGGGUCCUGAGAGGGAGAUCCCCCACACUGGUACUGAGACACGGACCAGACUCCUACGGGAGGCAGCAGUGAGGAAUAUUGGACAAUGGGCGCAAGCCUGAUCCAGCCAUGCCGCGUGCAGGAAGAAGCAUCUAUGGUGUGUAAACUGCUUUUGUACGGGAAGAAACACUCCUACGUGUAGGAGCUUGACGGUACCGUAAGAAUAAGGAUCGGCUAACUCCGUGCCAGCAGCCGCGGUAAUACGGAGGAUCCAAGCGUUAUCCGGAAUCAUUGGGUUUAAAGGGUCCGUAGGCGGUUUAAUAAGUCAGUGGUGAAAUCUGGUCGCUCAACGAUCAAACGGCCAUUGAUACUGUUAGACUUGAAUUACUAGGAAGUAACUAGAAUAUGUAGUGU
Molecule: ribosomal RNA, 615 nt
Filed under: uncultured Bacteroidota bacterium
Lineage: Bacteria; Pseudomonadati; Bacteroidota
Description: bacterial SSU rRNA
Rfam family: Bacterial small subunit ribosomal RNA
Source: RNAcentral